This 3321-nucleotide long non-coding RNA is filed under the name Equus asinus (donkey). RNAcentral describes it as "lncRNA (ENSEASG00005025698.1)". Lineage: Eukaryota; Metazoa; Chordata; Mammalia; Perissodactyla; Equidae. The record is from RNAcentral.
CGGGGAGCUCUCAGUCUGGGGAUUCAGGCAGGAGGACUAGUUCUUUGAGCCACCAGUGGAGGGGCAGAGGCUGUGUUGAUCAUUGGUACCAGCCUACAGGCCGGAGGUUAAAAAGACAAAACCACCCCUCAACAAAAAUUUAUUAAAAUAAAGAGAAAAAAAGAAGUCAAAACUGGGUUUUUGCAUCCGUUUCUCCCAAGAUAGGUAUAGUUUUUAUUCAUACUCUUUUUUUUCCCCAAAGAUUGGCACCUGGGCUAACAACUGUUGCCAAUCUUUUUUUUUUUUUUUCUGCUUUAUCUCCCCAAACUGCCCCCUGUACACAGUUGUAUAUCUUAGUUGCACGUCCUUCUAGUUGUGGGUUGUGGGAUGCCACCUCAACGCAGCCUGACUGGCAGUGCCAUGUUCGCGCCCAGGAUCCGAACCCUGGGCGGCCGCAGCAGAGCACCCGAACUUAACCACUCGGCCAUGGAGCCGGCCCCUAUUCAUACUCUUAAGAUAGUAGGAAAUGGUGGUCUGCAUUAUCAAAACCAGCUCUUAUGUAAUUCAGAGGGCCGGUAUUCCAGAGAGUUGGGGUUUUUUAAGAUUAAAAUUUGAGAGUAAGAAUUUGCCAAUAUUUGCUUCAGCAGAUACUUAUUGAGGCCCUGUUGUGUCCUGAGCUGUCGGCGGGGUGCCAGGGCCAACAGGGCCAGCAAACGGAAAGACCUGAUCCCGGCUCAUAAGACUGUCACAUCCAGCAGAGAAGAUUCAGGGACGGAGAGACACGUGCUGUGGCGGAGGAGUGGAAGGUUCGCAGGAGAGGAGUGCAAGUGGAGCCAUGAAAAAUGGGAUUUAGCCAGGUCAAGAGUGGAAGCAAGACCUUGAAGAUAAUCAACUGGAUCACUGGUAAGGACCCGCGGAUGGAGGCGAAGGGCGAUCUGGGGCCCCGAUUCCCUCCUCUCCGUCCUCAGCACCAGAGCUGCUGUUGGAAAGCUUCGGGUCCUCCGGGAAGCAGAGUGCUUAAAGGAAGGGACUUCCGGGGCUCACAGCCUGACUGAAGUUCUGAGGGCGGCGUGAGCGGCUCCCUCCUUCUGAAGAUACACAGCGCAUAUUGAAGGCGUGACAGUCUGAAUGAGGUGGCGACUGUGUGUGUGCAUAUUUGGAAAUACUGGCUAUUUGUCACUCAUGAGUCCCUUCACAUGUGUCACUCUAAAAAUGAUUUUCUCCGAUGAGACAAUUUAUGCUUAAAAACAUUCAAUUGUUAAAUGUUUCAAUGCUUUGCCUAAAACUCCUGUGGUGACGUUACCAUGACAAUAAGUUUUAAAAAUUCAUUUCUUUCCCUCACAUACUAACAAACAUAACAUCACUUUACCAAAUAAUAUGGACAGAAACUGUGCUAGAAACUAAGAAUGCUCAGUACAACGUGCGAAGGCAAUCCCCUAACUACAGUGCCGUAAGAAAUGUGAGUUAAGACUUGGAUGAUCCAUUUAAAUGGAUUUCACAGGUUAAAAAAAAGGUUGGACAAGUAGCUGUUAGUGAAAAAUUUAUCGUAAUAUGGCAAUUUAUGAUCUUGGUCUCUUUUCCCAACUCGGUACAAAGCCAAUAAAGAAAUGUGAGCUACUCUGACAACCUUGAAACAGACUCCAGGGGUGUUAUCCAGAGCGUGACCAUUAUGACCAAAGCCUAGGGUGAAACUCAGGAAAUUCAUAUAUACAAAGAUACACAAAUUGGUCUAGUUAUCCAGUAGGAACUGUCUGUCUGAGCUCUACCAAACAAUAAAAGGGAAAAACUCCACAUAUUUGAGGCAUUGUGUUUCCUUCAUGAAGUUUAGAUUUUUGUCAGAAUAUCACUAACUAGUGUUUCACUAUUUCCAUAUAAACACACAGAAACGUACUGAUCGUGUAAUACUACCCCUUUUCCCUUCAAACGGCACAAAACAAAAGCUCUUAAUAAAAUACCCACGUGCAUUUAUGCCGGAACUGGCUAAGUCGCUACCUGUAAGGCAGUGUUUACUGUUCGGCAAUGGGGUAAAUCUGACAGGAACAGUUUCAUUUAGAGGACAGACUGUUUUUCGGAUUUCAGCUGUGCCAACUGCUUGGGCAAACUAUUUCUAAAAUACUUAAGAACUAGCUUUUUUUCUUUUAAAGAUUGGCACCUCAGCUAACAACUGUUGCCAAUCUUUUAUUUUUCUGCUUUUUCUCCCUGAAUCCCCCCAGUACAUAGUUGUAUAUUCUAGUUGUGGGUCCUUCUAGUUGUGGCAUGUGGGAUGCUGCCUCAACGUGGCUUGAUGAGCAGUGCCAUGUCCACGCCCAGGAUCCGAACCAGCGAAACCCUGGGCCGCCAAAGUGGAGCGCAUGAACUUAACCACUCGGCCAUGGGGUCGGCCCCAAGAAGUAGUUUUGGGCCUCUGACUUGUAAGAUGAGGUGGCUGGACAAGGUUAGUAAGUGGGAGCAGCACUGGGGUGGCUAUGUAAGGACCGCGUGAGAGCUUGUCAGCAGACAGAUUGCUACUGAAAUACCCUGAAGACUGUUUCCCAAAGGUCGGGAGUAUCUGUAGUCUAACAGACGCCUUAGGGAAUUCUGACAGUCCCCAGAUUUCAGAAACACAGGACUAAGGGAUCUCCAGAUUUUUUCUGCUCUAACCAUUUCUGAUUUGUUUGGGUUUUGCUAGGCAAAUAUAAGAGGUAACACAAAUUAAACUACCCAUUCACAAUUUUUAACUUUUUAAUUUAUAAAUAAUUUGACUCAUGAGAAGUUGCAAAAAUAGUCUAUAGUUUGCACAUAAACCUUCACCCAGCAUUCCCAAAUAACAUCUUUCAUAACCAGAGUAUAUUUUCAAAACUAGGAAAUUGACAUUGGUACAACACUACUAACUGAACUACAGACCUUACUUGUAUUUAACCAAUUUUUAUAUGCGCCUUAUUUUGGUAUAUGGCACUAUGAAAUUCUGUCACAAGUAUUGAUUUGUGUAAACACCACCACAAUCAGGACACAGAACUUUUCCAUCACCACCGUGAAACUCCCGCGUGCUACCCUUUUAUUAUUAAGACUCUACCUCAAACCUUAAUCUCUGGCAACCACUAAUCUCUUCUCCAUUGCUGUAAUUGUCAUUUCAAGGGUGUUAUGUAAAUGAAAUCAUACAGGAUGUAUGUAACCUUUUGAGACUGGCUUUUUGUACUUAGCAUAAUGCCACUGAGAUCCAUAGAAGUUGUUGUACAUAACAAUAGUUUCUUUUUAUGGCUAAUAUUUAUUUACGGAUGUACCAGUUUAUCUGUUUGUCCCCUGAAGGACAUUUAGGUAGUUCUUGGCUAACAAAUAAAGCUGCCAUGAACACGUGUGUACAGG